Drosophila sechellia is the source of this 720-nucleotide long non-coding RNA. RefSeq lists it as uncharacterized. The transcript is spliced from 2 exons. Lineage: Eukaryota; Metazoa; Arthropoda; Insecta; Diptera; Drosophilidae. The record is from RefSeq and is a predicted model, not a curated record.
AAAUCAGCUUGGCGUUCAUUGUAAAGGGACAGUAAAAGUCGGGUGUUGGAUGUACACCACUUCCUUUCGUAAGCUGGCUUAUUCUACUUAUUUGAUGACGAAAUAGUUUUGUUUCCCAGGCUGCUCGUUUUUUCAGACGGCGUAAGGGAAAAAGGUAUCAUGAUCCAAGCAUCUGUGUUUCGAUUUUUCUCUAUCGAUAACUAUCGAAAAGGUGGCACGAAACAAAGAUGGGAAUAUUCUUUCGUUUUCUAAAAAUUGAUUUAUUAACUUAACGAGUAUUGCAGUAUUUUAGCUUUCUUUGUUAAUACUCGCUUUCGGAGGGAACAUUUAUUUUUUAUAUCUUAUAUAAAUACUCAUCUUAGCUUAUCAAGCUGCAUUCUUGCGAGUCCGAUUUUAUUGCCAUUAUGUAGUUUUUGAAUUUAAAAGUCUCGCAGUAAGGAUUUAGUAAGUACUUGCCGUAGGACGAGACCACCCAAAACUUAAUAAUAGAAAGUUAAUAUUGAAAUGGACCUACACUAAAAAUAAGCACAUAACUAUUACUGUGCUGCCAUCUACCGGCAAUGCGACUUUCAUUUACAGACGCUAGGUGUCGCCCGAACAGUUCGUCGACAGGGGCGCAGUAGUAUACAUGUAAAAUAACUCGAGUAUACACAGUAAAAAACUGUCCGAAACACAGAUAUUGAUUUUUAUAUUAAUAAAUUUUUAAAGCAAAUUAUAUAA